RNAcentral lists this ribosomal RNA (466 nucleotides) under uncultured bacterium. Its description in RNAcentral is "partial 16S ribosomal RNA". It matches the Rfam family "Bacterial small subunit ribosomal RNA", at positions 28 to 507 of the family's 1533-position model. The record is from RNAcentral.
GAUGAACGCUGGCGGCGUGCUUAACACAUGCAAGUCGAACGAUGAAGCCCAGCUUGCUGGGUGGAUUAGUGGCGAACGGGUGAGUAACACGUGAGUAACCUGCCCUUAACUCUGGGAUAAGCCUGGGAAACUGGGUCUAAUACCGGAUAGGAGCGUCCACCGCAUGGUGGGUGUUGGAAAGAUUUAUCGGUUUUGGAUGGACUCGCGGCCUAUCAGCUUGUUGGUGAGGUAAUGGCUCACCAAGGCGACGACGGGUAGCCGGCCUGGGAGGGUGACCGGCCACACUGGGACUGAGACACGGCCCAGACUCCUACGGGAGGCAGCAGUGGAGAAUAUUGCACAAUGGGCGCAAGCCUGAUGCAGCGACGCCGCGUGAGGGAUGACGGCCUUCGGGUUGUAAACCUCUUUCAGUAGGGAAGAAGCGAAAGUGACGGUACCUGCAGAAGAAGCACCGGCUAACUACGUG